GAUGAACGCUGGCGGCGUGCCUAAUACAUGCAAGUCGAGCGAAUGGAUUAAGAGCUUGCUCUUAUGAAGUUAGCGGCGGACGGGUGAGUAACACGUGGGUAACCUGCACAUAAGACUGGGAUAACUCCGGGAAACCGGGCUAAUACCGGAUAACAUUUUGAACCGCAUGGGUCGAAAUUGAAAGGCGGCUCCGGCUGUCACUUAUGGAUGGACCCGCGUCGCAUUAGCUAGUUGGUGAGGUAACGGCUCACCAAGGCAACGAUGCGUAGCCGACCUGAGAGGGUGAUCGGCCACACUGGGACUGAGACACGGCCCAGACUCCUACGGGAGGCAGCAGUAGGGAAUCUUCCGCAAUGGACGAAAGUCUGACGGAGCAACGCCGCGUGAGUGAUGAAGGCUUUCGGGUCGUAAAACUCUGUUGUUAGGGAAGAACAAGUGCUAGUUGAAUAAGCUGGCACCUUGACGGUACCUAACCAGAAAGCCACGGCUAACUACGUGCCAGCAGCCGCCGUAA
This 514-nucleotide ribosomal RNA is filed under the name uncultured bacterium. RNAcentral describes it as "partial 16S ribosomal RNA". It matches the Rfam family "Bacterial small subunit ribosomal RNA", at positions 28 to 523 of the family's 1533-position model. The record is from RNAcentral.